RNAcentral lists this unclassified non-coding RNA (3920 nucleotides) under Leishmania donovani. RNAcentral describes it as "gene:LdHU3.21.1250(CDS-product:hypothetical_prote in_conserved)". Lineage: Eukaryota; Euglenozoa; Kinetoplastea; Trypanosomatida; Trypanosomatidae. The record is from RNAcentral.
CCGUGCACUCACACGCUUACUCGCUUACAUGCAACUACGGUGACGUCUGCAUCGUUCCAUAGCUUGGUGUUAUCGAGCAUCGAAGAAGGGCGUCGCGCUUCCGCUCUGCAGUGCCCCGGUGAGAGAGAGACACAGGGGAACACAGACGAGGAAGGGGCGUGCGAGGGUGUGUCUCUGCAGGAACAAGGAGGAGGAGGAGGCGACACACACACACACACACACACACACACAUCCGCUGUGCUCGUCCACCGAAGCAUUUUUCUUCUACCUUGCGAGGCGGCAUGGCCUUCUUCCUCAAGGCCCUUGGCCUGUCCGACAGCAUCCCGGGCUUCCCCUUCACCCCUGCCGCCAAUGACCCUGGCCGCACCGUGUACACCUCGCCACGGAUGUGCUGGACCCUGCGACCCGGCACACAGAGCGACGAUGCGCAGACGAGGGUGUCCAUCUUUACCUGCUCUGUUUCUGCGGCGACCACGGCAGGCAGCAGCGGUGACCGCGAGCUGAUCAAGCAGCUGGCCCGAAACACCAUGCGCCGCGCAAAGAGCCUUAUGAUCCCAGGGUUUCUCAAGUGCCACGGCGCGGUGGAGCACGGCGAAACGAUCUACAUAGCCACGGAGCCGUGUGUGGCGCUGAAAGACGUUUUGGAGAGUUUAGAGUUGCGACGGCACUACUGUGGAGAGAUGGAGGAGGAGUACGCCGCCUCCGUCGCGUACGGCCUGGAAACAGUGGGUGGCGCACUCGCGGCACUUCAAUCGAACAGGCUGGUGCAUGGCAACGUACACUGCGGGUCGAUCUUUAUCUCCGCUGUGUCGGGGUUCUGGCGGCUAUUCGGGCUGGAGUUCAUAUCCGCAAUGGACGAAGUGGCGAGGGGUACCCCCGGCUGCCUCUUCGAAUGCGCGCGACGCGCUGGAAUGGUCGUCGGGUAUCGCUGCCCGCCGGAGCUGGGUAGCAGCAGCUGCGGUGACGUCGGUAGUGGGGAUCCUGUGGUGGCCGUGGACGCAUGGGGCGUAGGCUGCUUACUGUACGAAACGGUGGGGGUGACGGCCGAGGAGGCGAUCAACGGCAGGCUGAAUUCAGUGGCUCACAACCUUAGCGCGGCGGAGCUGCGAAACGUGUGCCGUCAGAGCCUGCCGAAGUCUCUGCACCAGGGCUGCAUCCACCUCACAACGCCAAACCCGCGCAUGCGCAAGUCCAUUGCGGCCUUCUUAGAGAACUGCGAGUUUGUAAAGAAGAGCACGUUUGUGCAGUACAUGAAGGCGCUGUCCGGGUUGCUACUGAUGGAUCUGUCGCAGCAGAUGCGGCUGGCCGAGUCGCUGGCUGAGACGGUGGAAAAGUUUCCACUGCGGGCGUGCCUCUGCUUCGUUCUACCGCGGCUCGGCGAGCUUGUCCGCACUGCUGCAAAGGCCAGUGGCAGCUCGGGAGCGAUAGGGGUGUCGAUUGGGCCGUUGGCCGACCCUGUGCUGAAGAUCUCGGAGCGCACCGCAGCGGGCGAGGACUUUGAUACAUAUGUAACGCCGGUGCUUGUGCAGCUUUACCAGUCGGCCGAUGUGCUGCUGCGCUACAAGCUGCUCCUGGGCGUCGAGACCUACGGCGCGAAGCUGUCCUCCACGGCGCUGAACAACGCUAUCUGGCCGCUCUACGCCAAGGGGUUCGCAUACUCGGCGCCCAGAGUGCGGGAGUACAGUGCGCGCGCAUUGGUGCACCUCGCUCCUCACAUGUCGGAGAGCAUCCUUGGCGACCAGGUGCCGAAGGCCCUCGCGCAGCUGCAGCGCGACGUCGACGGAGCGCUGCGCGCCAACGCCACCAUAGCCCUCAACCUCAUCUCCGAGCACAUUACACCCCCGUCGCAGCGGGCGAUGGUGAUGCUGGUGUACUGCCGCCCGAUGCUCCGCGACGCCUUCGAACCGUCACGCGUGGCGGCGCUGCGGUCGCUGCACGGGUCUCUCGAGUGCUUGUCAGCCAAGCAGCUCGCCGAGUCGGUGCUUCCAGCCAUAUCGCCACUGACUGUCGACCCGACGUCCGCGGAGAGUCGCACGGCUGCGUUGUCGCUCCUGAAUGCGUCCAUGGCGAAGUUGGAGGCGCAUCAUAAGCAGCUCUCCGCGCAGCAGGUGACUGUUCCCUCUGGCGGCCCCGUCACUGCCAACGGAAGCACGGAUGCCUCGUCGACAAGCACUCCUGUGCCUGCCACUGUGCCGGCUGGCACUGCAUCAAGAGGAUGGGGCCUGCUGGAUGGUUUCACCAUAUCUUCUGCAUUGUCUACUGCCGGUGCUGCACCGCAGCACGUCGAUGCUGUCUCGGCGCCCGUGUCGUCAAGUGCUUCUAGCCCGCUGCGCCCGACCCCGGUAGCCACUGUGCUGCCGACACCGGUGGCUGAUGCGGCUUCCUCAGUGGGGGGCGGCGGCAGUGGCUGGAGCGACGACGAUGAAGCUGCUGCGGCGAGUGAGGACGACGGCGUGAGCAGGCCCCACGCUUUCCGUGAGAGCUCGCAAUUUGCCAAGUCUACCGCGCCACCGCCGAGCGCGCCCACGGCGCCCUUCUUUGCCGGCACGAAGUCAGCGCCUACUGCUGCAUCUUACGCUGCCUCUCCAGUGAAUGCUGCCGGCGGUGCUCACGGGUCUACAUCAUCUCUCACGGGGCUCGCAUCCUCGCCGCCGUCGCAGCCUGUCCUGACAGUGCCGACCGCUAGCAGGGUGUCAAUCCGACCCGGCAUCAGUAGUAUAGUCGGCGGCACCGGUGGAGCCGCGCCUGUCAGUGUAAGCGGUGGCACCGAUUCCGUCACUGCGAGUGCGCCUAGCGGGCCGAUGAAGCUGCGCAGGAAGGGCGGUCUCGGGGCGGCGCGACUGGAUUGAGAGGGGAAAGCAAGAGCGCGUCGGCGUGGUCGCUUACCUAUAUGUGUAUGGAGAAUAGCUGGACAGCUGCGCUACCACGCGAACUCCCAGCCCACUAUCGGACACCAUCUUGUUGACCCCUUCUCACGGAGGCGUGAUGGUUCCGCGGAAGAGGCGGGGAGAGAAAGGGCAUCUUCCUCUUCCUCUCCCUCCACACACACACACACCCGCCUUUCCACAGCCCUCCCUCCCUCCCUCUUGCGUCGCUGUAGGAGGCGGUGGUGCCGUUUUGCGAGAGGAGCAGCAGCAGCAGCAGUAGUGGCACGAGUGUGCCUGCGCGCUGUGCACGGCUUGUAGGCUCACCGCACAUGCUGCAUGGGGACGAUGAGCACAUGGAAAGGAGGCAAAAGGGAGCUGAAUCGCGCUCUAGGCGUGCCGGUGCGUGUUCCGGUGUGUGUUCUCAUUCGGAUCUGUCUUGAUUGCCCGGUACUCCUCUUGGCUGUGCGCGUACACGGGCGGUGAUGAUGGGCGUUGCCCGGCAUAGGAGAGGGAAGAGGUGAGCCGUGGCAGUGGCCGUGUUGGUGGUUGUGCUGGCCCGGAGAGACGGUGCGUCUGUGGUGCCCACCGAUAGUGUGCCGCUAUUUUUGUUGGGCGGGAGAGGAGGGGCGGCGCCGCUUGAUGGGCAACGCGGGGAUGGGGUCUACUCGGGGCUGCGCAGAAGCCCCUCUCUCCUAUCGACGGGCACGCGGCGCUUGCCUCGGCUUCCCUGCCACUGUUACUCGCCGUCUGCAUCGUUCUCUCCCUCUGUCUUUGCUCUGGCAUUCGCCCGACUGCUGUUGCGUGUGGCCUUCCUAAGAGUGGGGGUGGGGGCACGCAACGGGUGUGAAGCGGCUCUCUUAGCUCGCCGCUCUCGCCAACGUGCCACCUCCUCCCCCUUUCAUCGUUUGAACACCAACGCUCGAGCGGAGGGCGGCGCGCGCUCUCACGCUUCUCGCGCUUGCGCGUGUUGUGUCGCUCGCCGGAGCAUCCUCACCGCCUCUUUGUCCCCCCUACCCUUCUCUUGGUCCUACGCUGUCCACCGCCACCACACAG